Molecule: ribosomal RNA, 423 nt
Filed under: uncultured bacterium
Lineage: Bacteria
Description: bacterial SSU rRNA
Rfam family: Bacterial small subunit ribosomal RNA
Source: RNAcentral
GGAAUAUUGGACAAUGGGCGAAAGCCUGAUCCAGCAAUGCCGCGUGUGUGAAGAAGGCCUGCGGGUUGUAAAGCACUUUUAUCGGGAAAGAAAAUCACAGGACUAAUACUUCUGUGCCUUGACGGUACCCGAAGAAUAAGCACCGGCUAACUCCGUGCCACCGGCCGCGGUAAUACGGAGGGUGCAAGCGUUAAUCGGAAUUACUGGGCGUAAAGCGGGUGUAGGUGGCUAUGUAAGUCGGAUGUGAAAUCCCCGGGCUCAACCUGGGAAUUGCAUUCAAAACUGGCAUGCUAGAGUAUGUGAGAGGGGGGUAGAAUUCCAAGUGUAGCGGUGAAAUGCGUAGAGAUUUGGAGGAAUACCAGUGGCGAAGGCGGCCCCCUGGCACAAUACUGACGCUCAGGUGCGAAAGCGUGGGGAGCAAAC